CGUAGCGAAAGUUACGCUAAUACCGCAUAUUCUGUGAGCAGGAAAGCAGGGGAUCGCAAGACCUUGCGCUGAUUGAGCGGCCGAUAUCAGAUUAGCUAGUUGGUGAGGUAAAGGCUCACCAAGGCGACGAUCUGUAGCGGGUCUGAGAGGAUGAUCCGCCACACUGGAACUGAGACACGGUCCAGACUCCUACGGGAGGCAGCAGUGGGGAAUUUUGGACAAUGGGGGCAACCCUGAUCCAGCCAUGCCGCGUGAGUGAAGAAGGCCUUCGGGUUGUAAAGCUCUUUCGGCCGGGAAGAAAUCGUAUGGGUUAAUACCCUGUGCGGAUGACGGUACCGGCAUAAGAAGCACCGGCUAACUACGUGCCAGCAGCCGCGGUAAUACGUAGGGUGCGAGCGUUAAUCGGAAUUACUGGGCGUAAAGCGUGCGCAGGCGGUUUUGUAAGACAGGCGUGAAAUCCCCGGGCUCAACCUGGGAACUGCGCUUGUGACUGCAAGGCUAGAGUAUGGCAGAGGGGGGUGGAAUUCCACGUGUAGCAGUGAAAUGCGUAGAGAUGUGGAGGAACACCAAUGGCGAAGGCAGCCCCCUGGGCCAAUACUGACGCUCAUGCACGAAAGCGUGGGUAGCAAACAGGAUUAGAUACCCUGGUAGUCCACGCCCUAAACGAUGUCAACUAGGUGUUGGGUGGGUAAAACCAUUUAGUACCGGAGCUAACGCGUGAAGUUGACCGCCUGGGGAGUACGGCCGCAAGGUUAAAACUCAAAGGAAUUGACGGGGACCCGCACAAGCGGUGGAUGAUGUGGAUUAAUUCGAUGCAACGCGAAAAACCUUACCUACCCUUGACAUGUCCAGGAGCCUGAAGAGAUUUGGGUGUGCCCGAAAGGGAACUGGAACACAGGUGCUGCAUGGCUGUCGUCAGCUCGUGUCGUGAGAUGUUGGGUUAAGUCCCGCAACGAGCGCAACCCUUGUCGUUAAUUGCCAUCAUUUAGUUGGGCACUUUAACGAGACUGCCGGUGACAAACCGGAGGAAGGUGGGGAUGACGUCAAGUCCUCAUGGCCCUUAUGGGUAGGGCUUCACACGUCAUACAAUGGUCGGUACAAAGGGUUGCCAACCCGCGAGGGGGAGCCAAUCCCAGAAAGCCGAUCGUAGUCCGGAUUGCAGGCUGCAACUCGCCUGCAUGAAGUCGGAAUCGCUAGUAAUCGUGGAUCAGCAUGUCACGGUGAAUACGUUCCCGGGUCUUGUACACACCGCCCGUCACACCAUGGGAGCGGGUUCCGCCAGAAGUAGGUAGCCUAACCGCAAGGGGGGCGCUUACCACGGCGGGGUUCGUGACUGGGGUGAAGUCGAAACAAGGUA
This 1357-nucleotide ribosomal RNA is filed under the name metagenome. Its description in RNAcentral is "bacterial SSU rRNA". It matches the Rfam family "Bacterial small subunit ribosomal RNA", at positions 147 to 1498 of the family's 1533-position model. The record is from RNAcentral.